UUGGUCACCAUGGUUUUGUUGAGAUUGUCAAUCAUAUUAUGUGUGAUGUUAUAUGGUCCUUCUCUUUCAGGAGCUGCUUCUCCUAAGAACAUAUUCAUCCUCGCAGGUCAGAGUAACAUGGCUGGUCGAGGUGGAGUUGAGAACAAUGCUCAAGGAAAUCUCCAGUGGGAUGGGUUAGUCCCACCAGAAUGUCAACCUCAACCAUCCAUCCUACGAUUGAACCCUGGUCUCCAAUGGGAGAUAGCACGAGAGCCACUCCAUUUGGGAAUUGACAUCAAAAGGACCCCUGGAAUUGGUCCCGGUAUCGCAUUUGCUCAUGAAUUGCUAGUCAAAGCUGGACCAAAUGCUGGCGCUGUGGGUUUAGUUCCAUGUGCUAGAGGUGGCACUUUAAUUGAACAAUGGAUUAAAAAUCCUAGCAAUCCUAGUGCAACCUUUUACCAAAACUUCAUUGAACGAAUCAAAGCAUCGGAUAAAGAUGGUGGGGUUGUGCGUGCUCUUUUCUGGUUCCAAGGAGAAAGUGAUGCAGCUAUGAAUGACACUGCCAUUAGAUACAAAGACAACCUAAAGAAAUUCUUCACUGACAUUCGUGAUGACAUAAAACCUAGAUUUUUGCCCAUCAUUGUUGUUAAAAUAGCUCUCUACGACUUUUUUAGGCAGCACGAUACUCAUAACCUCCCAGCAGUGAGGGAAGCACAAGAAGCAGUCAGCAAGGAGCUGCCUAACGUGGUGGCCAUCGAUUCGUUGAAAUUACCUAUAAACUAUACAACAAAUGAAGGCAUCAACCUAGAUCAUGGUCAUUUUAACACCACAACCGAAAUUACUUUGGGUAAAUGGUUGGCUGAAACCUACCUCUCCCACUUUGGUCAAUUACUUUAAUUUGUAUUAUUUAUCAACUUUGUUAUUAUAUAUCAAUAAAAUCAUCCAUCCACUCCUUUUAUUUAAAAUCUCCUUCCAAUUGACUCUCAACAUAAAAUAAUCAGUGGAAAUAAUUUCAUACUCAAAUCUCUAAUGAAUCAUCUUUGCAUCAUUAUCUUCUACACUAACACUUGGGAGAGGCGAAAAAGAGAGUUUGGGGGCAAAAGAAAAAACAAAUUCGACCCAAAAUUUUACAUUAAUUUUUCUUUAUGAUUAUACCUUUCACAAUCAAAAUGGCUCAACUGAAUUUAACUGUUUCCUGACUUCCUACAAUAACAUAUUUAUUUAAUUUUUUAAUACUUUUUUCUCAUUUAAAAACAAAUGUAUUUUCCAUUAACGUCAAUCAUAUCACUAAUAAAAUUUAAAAAGGGAAAAUAUCAUUUGUUUCUUGAGGUAUUUUAAAAAAUAUAAAAAAAAUAUUUACACUAAUUUAAAAACCAUUCACAAUGAAAAUAUUAAAAAAUGCACUUAUUAAUUGACAUCGUUUAAAUUUGGUUAUUUUUUUAAAAUUUUUUUUUUUAUAUAAGGUUGUUUAAAAGAAAAAUUGGUAUACACUAUCGUUUAUAUUUAAUGGUUCAAAUUUGGCCACUCAAAUCUAAAGGGUCUUUUUAGAAUCUUUAGUACAUAUAUUUAGAUUUAAUUAUUAUUUUUUUUUUUGGUUUAGAUUUGGUCUAAUGUCCCAACAAUUUUUUUCAUUAUCUUUUAUAUUUGCACACGAUUUUAAACAACCAAACAAUGGUUUUUAAAAAUAAAAGAAAAUUAAAAAAAAAAAAAGAGAAAAAGACUUGAAAAGAAGAAGAAAAAUAGUUGAAGGGAAAGAGAAGAAAUAUUUUUGUAUAUAAUCAUAUUAUUCAUUUUGUUCCACGGCCCACAAAUAUUUUGUCGAUUUGUUGAAAAUUAAAUCUGUUUCUUUUUAAACAGUGAUAAACAUAACAUAUCUAAUUAAUUAAUUUAAUCUAAUAAAAAGUGAUUGAGAUCAUUCUAAAAUAGUAAAAUGGAUGAAGAAAUAAACGAAGAAAAAAAUGGAUGGAUAGAAGAGAGUAAAGAGAAAGAGAAGAGACGGAGUGCUUGAGAAUGAGAGCGAAUUGGAAACCGUUUUAUCUUUUUGUUUGGCGCUUGCAGAUAUAACAAAAUUAGUUUUAGAAAUUAGGCCCAUAAAACACACUUUUGAAUUUGCAAAAAUGACAAAAUUCAAGUCAGUCCACAUUUGAAAAAUGUAAAAUUACAAACCUUCCCUCGAAUUGUAAACAUUUUCACACAUCAUUUGAUAUGUUGUUGAUACACUUGGUAUGUUUUUUAUAUAUUUGUUAUGCUUGUUGAUACACUCGAUCAAUUAAAUAACACUUGAUGCAUAUAAUUGGUUUGAUACACUUAUAUGUUGUUGAUACAUUUGUUAAACUUUGCAAAUACACUCAAUUAAUUAAAUACAUUGAUGCACUAAGUAUAAUACUUUUGUUGUAUUGUCGAUACAUUUAUUAAAGGGACACUUGCAAAAAUGACAAAAUAAGUUAUAAUAAUUAAAUCCAUAACACAUAUACUUUAUUAUUUGCAAAAAUGACAAAAACGAAGCCCAAUCCACACAUCAAAAAGUAAAAUGUCACAAAUGUCUUCGUUACUAAUAUACGUUUGAUACACCUUAUACUGAUACACCUAAUACCGUUUGAUACAUCUGAUACUUCUUGAUACACCCGAUACAGUUGAUUGAUAUACUUGAUGCACUUAAUGCACUUGAUACUUUUUGAUAAACUUGAUACCUUUUAAUAGACACCUGAAACUUAUGUUUGAUACACCUGAUGCACUGCAUAUACAUUUAGUAUUCUUCACUUAUGCAAUUGAUUGAUUAAAUGCACUUGAUAUGCUUGAAGUCCUACUUAUACACUUGAUAUACUAUUGUUAUACACUUGUAAACUUGGUUCAUAUACUUAAUAAUGAUUUACUUUGCUGAUAUGCUUUAACAAUAUAUUGUUGAUAAACUUGAUAAUGAUACACUAAGUUACAUCAUUCAUAUACUUAAUAAUACUCUAAUAAACUGCAUAAAAUUUAAAAAAUUGAAAAAUCAUGUAGUAAGUAUAUUAACCAACUAAUACAUAUAAUAUAAGUAUAUUAGAACAGAACACUGAUAUACAAAACUGAGACAAAGUUAAACCAAAACAAAAUUAAUGUAAAAAAAUAGAACAAAAUGAUUUAGAAUCAGAUUGUUGUACUAUGGAAAAAAGUAAAAAAAAAUCACAAAUGAAGUUAAAUUACUCUAAUCAACAACUAUUAUGUUUUAUAUUGUAAUUGUUGUACUAUUGAUAUUCUAAAAUUAAGAUUAAGACAUAAAUAAUAAAUAAUUUUUAUAGUAUAAGAAUAAAAAAAUAAUUAGAGCCUUACAAAGUGGGAGAAUAAAUAAAUAAUGGAUAGGACAUUAAAAAUAGGAAAAUAAAUAAGUUAUUGAAUGAUAGUUUAAAAAUAAUAACAAAUUUAAAAUUGAGAAGCGAGAAGUUUGUUAUAUUUGCAAAAUUCUAAAAUUAUAAUUGCUAUAUUAUAAAAUGUUCAUAUAGAAAUUUCCCAAAUUGAGGGUUAAAAGCGCAAAAUGCUCAUAAUCCACAAGUACUCACCUAUAAAAGUGAUCUUUAAAACUAACCGUACUAAAAAUAGAGUAAAAAAUAGUAUAAAAGGUGGGGUAAUAACAUAGAGAAAGGCAGAGGCAAGGAUCAGCCAACCAAACUAAGGGGGGAGUAACUAAAGCAAGAGAGUAGUUGUGUGUCUGUGCAAAUAGACACAAGAGGAAAAGUUAUCCUUUUUUUAAAAACCGUGCACAUUGUUUAUACUUUUCUUCUGUGUUUAUUUGUACAGACACAACAGACACAAAUUGGUCACCAUGGUUUUGUUGAGAUUGUCAAUCAUAUUAUGUGUGAUGUUAUAUGGUCCUUCUCUUUCAGGAGCUGCUUCUCCUAAGAACAUAUUCAUCCUCGCAGGUCAGAGUAACAUGGCUGGUCGAGGUGGAGUUGAGAACAAUGCUCAAGGAAAUCUCCAGUGGGAUGGGUUAGUCCCACCAGAAUGUCAACCUCAACCAUCCAUCCUACGAUUGAACCCUGGUCUCCAAUGGGAGAUAGCACGAGAGCCACUCCAUUUGGGAAUUGACAUCAAAAGGACCCCUGGAAUUGGUCCCGGUAUCGCAUUUGCUCAUGAAUUGCUAGUCAAAGUUGGACCAAAUGCUGGCGCUGUGGGUUUAGUUCCAUGUGCUAGAGGUGGCACUUUAAUUGAACAAUGGAUUAAAAAAUCCUAGCAAUCCUAGUGCAACCUUUUACCAAAACUUCAUUGAACGAAUCAAAGCAUCGGAUAAAGAUGGUGGGGUUGUGCGUGCUCUUUUCUGGUUCCAAGGAGAAAGUGAUGCAGCUAUGAAUGACACCGCCAUUAGAUACAAAGACAACCUAAAGAAAUUCUUCACUGACAUUCGUGAUGACAUAAAACCUAGAUUUUUGCCCAUCAUUGUUGUUAAAAUAGCUCUCUACGACUUUUUUAGGCAGCACGAUACUCAUAACCUCCCAGCAGUGAGGGAAGCACAAGAAGCAGUCAGCAAGGAGCUGCCUGACGUAGUGGCCAUCGAUUCGUUGAAAUUACCUAUAAACUAUACAACAAAUGAAGGCAUCAACCUAGAUCAUGGUCAUUUUAACACCACAACCGAAAUUACUUUGGGUAAAUGGUUGGCUGAAACCUACCUCUCCCACUUUGGUCAAUUACUUUAAUUUGUAUUAUUUAUCAACUUUGUUAUUAUAUAUCAAUAAAAUCAUCCAUCCACUCCUUUUUUUUUUUUAAAUCUCCUUCCAAUUGACUCAUAACAUAAUUAAUUAAUUGAAACAAUUUCUUACUCACCUACCUCUACCAGAAUCAUCUUUGCAUGAUUAUCUACACUUUGUUUAGGGGAAAUGUUGGGUUAUGGAAGGGUUAGGGUUAUAAUAAAGGGUUUUUAACUCAUAUAGCUUUUAAUUAAAAAGUAAUUUUAAUAAAUACAUUCACAAUCAAACUUAUUAAACAAUCAUAAAACUCUCAUAACAAUUAAAUUUUUUAAUUUAUUUCAAACCCUAACUUUAACGACUAAUUAUCUAAACUUAUUUAUGUAAAUUUUUUUAGCAACGUUUAUUAAGUCAACUAAAUUGACAAAAUAAAUUUCAUAAAACUGCAAAUUGGAUUUGGAUUUCUCUCACUCACAAAUGACCAUUGUAUUUUUCUAUUUCUCACUAUUCUUUUAAAUUAAAGAUCAAUAACAAACAUAAUUAUUAACUAUAAGUUAUAACAAAGGUUUACUACUCCUAUAUAUCCUAUAUAUCCACAAAGAAAAUUAGUUGUACAUUCAUCCAUUAUACUAAAAGUACCAAAAAAAAUUCUAACACAUCAUGAAUCAUUAAAUUUUCAUAAUGUCAACAAAUCUCAUCCCAAAACAGAGCUCCAAACACACAGCAUUUACCAUCUCUCGUUGAUUGUAAUUCACAAACAAAUUUGCCAAGAAAAUCUCAUUUAACCCCAAAUUGUUAAACGAAACAGAGAGAGAUGAGAGAAAAAAUUUACACGAAGAGAAAGAGGAAAGCGGAGAGGGAAAAGGGAAAGAAGAAAAAGCAGAGGGGAUGGGGAAAGAGGAAACAAAGAGAGAAAGAGGAAAGAGGAAGAAGAAGCAACAGGGAUCGAGGGAAAAUCAAGGGACUAAUACGCAAGCUACGAGAGAGUGAAGGAAAGAGUUAUGGCAGAGAUCGAGGGGAUAAGUGUGAAAGGGAUUUAGAGGUAUUAUGGAAACCCUAGAACUAGAGUUUCUAUAAGUUGGACUCCAAACAAAUUUUAGGGUUAAGUGAUAAACAGAGACCCAAACGCUACUCUCAAGGUGAGAAACAUACUGUUGGGCAAAAUAAACAAAUUCAACAAACAUUUCUCUAUUUAGGUCAAUUAACAAAAUUAUCUUUAACACCAAAAUUUUACAUUAAUUUUCCUCUAUGAUUAUACCUAUCAGAAUCAAAAUGGCUCAAUUGAAUUUAAGUGUUUGUGGACUUCCUACAAUGACACAUUUAUUUAAUUUCAUAAUACACUUGGUUUCUUUAGUUUAAAAAUACCUAUAUUUUUCAUUAACGCCAAUUACAUACACUAAUAAAAUUUUAAAAGUGAAAAAGCAGUUUGUUUCUUUUUUAAAACAUAUAACACCAAUUUCGAAAAUGGAAGAGAGCCAGAGAUCCACACUAUAAAAUAUAGUGAAUAAUUUAAUAUCAUUUUAGAUUUGGAUAUCCAAUAUUCCAACUAUUUUUUCACGACCUUAAACAUCUCAAAUAACAGUUUGAAAUAUUUUUAAUAAAAAAAUAGACAUUUUAUAUUUGGUAGGGUUGUUCACGGUUCAGUUCGAGGCCAAAAUCGCACCGAACCAAAAAGUAAAGAAAUAUCCUUCAAUUCAUAAUAAAAAUCCUAUAUAAACAUUAGCUUACAAAGUUACAAGCAUAGAUUAAAUUAAUUUUGUACAGUAAUUAAGUAUAAGACAUAAAAGUUUCAAACAAUGAAGUUUGAAAGUCCAUCAAAAUAAUUCCUAUAAAGUUGAAUAAAGCGAUUCGGUUCAAUUUUAAAAUAGAAUUAAAUGUCUUAAACUAAAUCGAAUAGCAUAAGAAUCAAUUUCAAUUUAACACAAAUCGAAUCAAAUCGUAUGUAUUCGGUUUUGGUUAUGUUAUGUAGUUAUAGUUCGAUUUGUCAUUUGGUUUGGUUUUCAACUAUUCUUUAACACCACUAAUAUUUGGUACACAAUCUUGAAUUAAAUAACAGUUUUAAAAAAAAAAUUGCAAAAGAAGAAAAAAAACUAUGAAAAAGAAUGGCAGACCUAGAAUAGUUUUUUUUAAAAAUAGUCAUUCUAGGCUUUUCCAUUUAGUUACACGGUCCAUAAAUAUUUUUUUAAUUUAUUAUAUUUAUGAAAAUUAAAUUUUAAUUAUGGCUAAACAUAAAAUAUCUAAUUAAUUAAUUUAAUCUAAUAGAAAUUAAUAAAUCGUAAAAUAGAUGAGGAAAAAAAAUCCAUGACAAACAUUUUUUUUAUCUUUUCUAUUUCUUUUGUUUAAAAACAAAGUCUACUUUCUUUAAAUAUAAUUCAUAGUAAAAAAUUUCAAAACAACAAAUUAAAGUUAUUAUUUUUUUAAAAAAAAUGACCAUAAAUAAAAUAUAGAUAAUAAAAUAAAAAAGUUAUUGAAGAUGGUAGUAGUGUCUAUAUACAACACAAAUUAAGCUUAUAGACACGUAAAUAUUUUUUUUAAGACUUAUAGAAAAAAUAACGAGAAAUGAUUAUUGAAAAUAUUUUAUUUUUCUUAUAUAGAAAAGGGAAAAAUAAAUGCCAUAGCUUUACAAACCUAAUUAAUUUGAGGAGAGUACAUCAACUUUUAAUAUUCAUAUAGAAAUUUACAAAAUUGAGGAAUGUUCGUAUAGAAAUUUACCAAAUUGAGGGUUAAAGCGAAAAACACUCACAAUCCACAAGUAUUCACCUAUAAAAAUGAUAUUUAAAACUUAACCAUACUAAAAAAAGAGUAAAAAAUAGUAUAAAAGGUAGGGUAGUAACAUAGAGAAAGGCAGAGACAAGGAUCAGCCAACCAAACUAAAGGGGGGCAGUAACUAAAGCAAGAGAGUAGUUGUGUCUUUGCAAAUAGACACAACAGGACAAGUUACAUCUGUGUUUAUUUGCAUAGACACAAAUUGGUCACCAUGGUUUUGUUGAGAUUGUCAAUCAUAUUAUGUGUGAUGUUAUAUGGUCCUUCUCUUUCAGGAGCUGCUUCUCCUAAGAACAUAUUCAUCCUCGCAGGUCAAAGUAACAUGGCUGGUCGAGGUGGAGUUGAGAACAAUGCUCAAGGAAAUCUCCAGUGGGAUGGGUUAGUCCCACCAGAAUGUCAACCUCAACCAUCCAUCCUACGAUUGAACCCUGGUCUCCAAUGGGAGAUAGCACGAGAGCCACUCCAUUUGGGAAUUGACAUCAAUAGGACCCCUGGAAUUG
This 7897-nucleotide long non-coding RNA is filed under the name Cucumis sativus (cucumber). Its description in RNAcentral is "long non-coding RNA (CSAT_LNC000718)". The record is from RNAcentral. Lineage: Eukaryota; Viridiplantae; Streptophyta; Magnoliopsida; Cucurbitales; Cucurbitaceae.